GAACGCGAAGAACCUUACCUGGGUUUGACAUGCACAGGACGCUGGUAGAGAUAUCAGUUCCCUUGUGGCCUGUGUGCAGGUGGUGCAUGGCUGUCGUCAGCUCGUGUCGUGAGAUGUUGGGUUAAGUCCCGCAACGAGCGCAACCCUUGUCCUAUGUUGCCAGCGGGUUAUGCCGGGGACUCGUAGGAGACUGCCGGGGUCAACUCGGAGGAAGGUGGGGAUGACGUCAAGUCAUCAUGCCCCUUAUGUCCAGGGCUUCACACAUGCUACAAUGGCCGGUACAAAGGGCUGCGAUGCCGUGAGGUGGAGCGAAUCCUUGUAAAGCCGGUCUCAGUUCGGAUCGGGGUCUGCAACUCGACCCCGUGAAGUCGGAGUCGCUAGUAAUCGCAGAUCAGCAACGCUGCGGUGAAUACGUUCCCGGGUCUUGUACACACC
This 435-nucleotide ribosomal RNA is filed under the name uncultured bacterium. RNAcentral's name for it is "bacterial SSU rRNA". It matches the Rfam family "Bacterial small subunit ribosomal RNA", at positions 957 to 1391 of the family's 1533-position model. The record is from RNAcentral.